This 427-nucleotide ribosomal RNA is filed under the name uncultured bacterium. RNAcentral's name for it is "partial 16S ribosomal RNA". It matches the Rfam family "Bacterial small subunit ribosomal RNA", at positions 354 to 796 of the family's 1533-position model. The record is from RNAcentral.
GUGGGGAAUAUUGGGCAAUGGGGGCAACCCUGACCCAGCGACGCCGCGUGAGGGAAGAAGGCCUUAGGGUCGUAAACCUCUGUUGUGUGGGAAGAAGGAAGUGACGGUACCACACGAGGAAGUCCCGGCUAACUACGUGCCAGCAGCCGCGGUAAUACGUAGGGGACGAGCGUUGUCCGGAAUUACUGGGCGUAAAGGGCGCGUAGGCGGUCAUUUAAGUCAGCUGUGAAAUGGUCCGGCUCAACCGGAUCAUGCGGUUGAAACUGGAUGACUGGAGUGCUGGAGAGGCAAGUGGAAUUCCCAGUGUAGCGGUGAAAUGCGUAGAUAUUGGGAAGAACACCGGUGGCGAAGGCGACUUGCUGGGCAGCAACUGACGCUGAGGCGCGAAAGCCAGGGGAGCAAACGGGAUUAGAUACUCGUGUAGUCC